Molecule: RNA transcript, 1648 nt
Organism: Phragmites australis (common reed)
Lineage: Eukaryota; Viridiplantae; Streptophyta; Magnoliopsida; Poales; Poaceae
Exons: 12
Source: RefSeq, a predicted model, not a curated record
GAGCGUGGUCAUCGCGGCGGCGGGCGCAUUUGAGUGACGAGCGGGACAGGUCAGGAACGGGUAUUUUUCACAGGAAAUGGAACACAGAUUCGACUGGUCCAGGGAGUAUUCAGGCCCAACAGGCCGUGAGCCCGUGACCAGCAUAUAACCCUACCCAGAGCUCACACUAACCGAGCACCGGGCAGAAAAAGAAGAGGCGAAUUCCUCAGUUCCCUGGAGGGAGGGAUGGCUGCCGCCGUCGCGUUGGCGACUCCUCUCCGGCGACUCCUCCGCGCCCCGCACCUGCGCCGAGACAUCCCCGCCCCGUGCUACUUCUUCUCGCGAGGACGGUGUAGCACCGCCCUUGCUGUCGCCGCUGCAGCAGCCAGGGAUUCGGCGAUGAAAGGAAACGUGGACAGGAAUGCAGCCGAGGAAGUCAGGAACAUUCUGGAUAUGCUUAUGCAGGCAGAAAGGGCUUCCCAAAGAAGAGAUGUUUUCCACACCAAUUUUCUUACUCCACCUAUAAUAAAGGAGGCUAUGCUGGCAAUUGAGAAGUUAGCAGACAUAAAAGCAGUAGCUCAGGGUGGAUACCCGCAGGCCGAGCGAUGCCGAAUUUCUGUUGGACACCCAGAUGCUAUGACAAGUAACCCAGAUGUAGUUGCUGCUUUGAGCAUCUCAGGGAAUUUCCGAUUGGAACCCUGCUCUCAUGGUGACUUUCUUGGUGCUAUUCUCGGGACAGGAAUAAUAAGGGAGAAGGUUGGAGAUAUUCUUUUGCAGGAGGAAAGAGGUGCUCAGGUCCUUGUUGAUCCAGAACUUGUUGACUAUCUGAGUUCUACUCUCGAAAAGGUGGGGAAAGUUGGUGUUUCAUGCACUCAGAUUCCUUUGCUUGCUCUAGAAUAUGAACCACCAAGGACCAAGUCAUUUAAAACUGUAGAAUCAUCGCUUAGGGUUGAUGCCUUGGCCAGUGCAGGAUUUAAAAUCUCGCGCACAAAGCUUGCUAGCUUGAUAAGUGGUGGGGAUGUUCGUGUGAAUUGGACUCCAGUUUUGAAAAAUGGAGUUACCCUCAAAUCUGGAGACAUCGUUUCUGUCAGUGGGAUGGGAAGGCUAAAGAUUGGGGACAUUGUGGCUACCAGGAAAGGAAAAUAUGCGGUUGAGUUGAUUAAAUAUUUGUAGGCUUGGGACUGAUCUACAAUACUUUCAGGAUUGAAUUGAAUGUGACCAUCAAAAGCACCCUUUCAACUGCUACUUUGUGAGGGCUUAUUCUGCUCUAAAAAACGAGAGGAUGAAGAAAACGUCCUGUGGCACCAAUACCAGUCAAGGCUUUUUAUCAAAAGGUUAACUCGUAAGGGAUCUCACGAAAUGCAUGUACUUAAAGUCCAUGCUCAAUAUCUUAUUGCUAUAGUUUCCUGCUAGUGCCACUAAAUGUUCUAUCAGAUUUGCAAUCACGCCAGACCAGGGGCCUAAUAACGCAACAGUCGAAUAUGUAGAUCUUUGGAUGUGAUCUCUGUAUGAUGGACCCUUGUUAAGCCCCAAGAAAAGGGGGGACUAAGAUUCAGAUAAUCUUGUUUUUUCUUUUCUUCUGCUCGAAAGAAGGUGCAAGUACGCCCCAGUUCUUGACAACUCUAUAUUCUUCCUUUCAUGUUUUUUUUUUCACAGAAAUAUCCAAUCA